Molecule: ribosomal RNA, 448 nt
Filed under: uncultured beta proteobacterium
Lineage: Bacteria; Pseudomonadati; Pseudomonadota; Betaproteobacteria
Description: bacterial SSU rRNA
Rfam family: Bacterial small subunit ribosomal RNA
Source: RNAcentral
AGGGGAUCGCAAGACCUUGCGCUCAUGGAGCGGCCGAUAUCUGAUUAGCUAGUUGGUAGGGUAAAAGCCUACCAAGGCGACGAUCAGUAGCUGGUCUGAGAGGACGACCAGCCACACUGGGACUGAGACACGGCCCAGACUCCUACGGGAGGCAGCAGUGGGGAAUUUUGGACAAUGGGGGCAACCCUGAUCCAGCAAUGCCGCGUGUGUGAAGAAGGCCUUCGGGUUGUAAAGCACUUUUGUCAGGAAAGAAACGGUCUGGGCUAAUACCCUGGGCUAAUGACGGUACCUGAAGAAUAAGCACCGGCUAACUACGUGCCAGCAGCCGCGGUAAUACGUAGGGUGCAAGCGUUAAUCGGAAUUACUGGGCGUAAAGCGUGCGCAGGCGGUUAUGUAAGACAGAUGUGAAAUGCCCGGGCUCAACCUGGGAACUGCGUUUGAAACUUAC